ACGCUCGACACCUACGGGAGGAGCAGUGGGGAAUAUUGCACAAUGGGGGAAACCCUGAUGCAGCGACGCCGCGUGAAGGAUGAAGUAUUUCGGUAUGUAAACUUCUAUCAGCAGGGAAGAAAGUGACGGUACCUGACUAAGAAGCCCCGGCUAACUACGUGCCGNGAGCCGCGGUAAUCUGAGCGGGCUGGCAAGGC
This 197-nucleotide ribosomal RNA is filed under the name uncultured bacterium. RNAcentral describes it as "partial 16S ribosomal RNA". It matches the Rfam family "Bacterial small subunit ribosomal RNA", at positions 328 to 539 of the family's 1533-position model. The record is from RNAcentral.